CGGGAAGAGCCCAUCGCUGAAUCCCCGGACCCGGCCGGGCUCGGGGAGUUGUGGCGUGAGGCGGCUUCGGGCGCACGAGGGUAUGGCGCCGAGGUCCUCCUGAUCGGGGCACCUUACCCAGAGCGGGUGUCAGGCCCGUUCUGGCGCCAACUCUCGCGGGCCGGGAGCCACCAAGAGUCGGGUUGUUUUGGAAUGCAGCCCAAAGAGGGGUGGUGAACUCCAUCCAAG
RNAcentral lists this ribosomal RNA (228 nucleotides) under Histocidaris elegans. RNAcentral describes it as "partial 28S ribosomal RNA". It matches the Rfam family "Eukaryotic large subunit ribosomal RNA", at positions 99 to 314 of the family's 3401-position model. Lineage: Eukaryota; Metazoa; Echinodermata; Echinoidea; Cidaroida; Histocidaridae. The record is from RNAcentral.